This 675-nucleotide ribosomal RNA is filed under the name uncultured Flavobacterium sp. RNAcentral's name for it is "bacterial SSU rRNA". It matches the Rfam family "Bacterial small subunit ribosomal RNA", at positions 78 to 753 of the family's 1533-position model. Lineage: Bacteria; Pseudomonadati; Bacteroidota; Flavobacteriia; Flavobacteriales; Flavobacteriaceae. The record is from RNAcentral.
CUUCGGAACAGAGAGAGCGGCGUACGGGUGCGGAACACGUGUGCAACCUGCCUUUAUCUGGGGGAUAGCCUUUCGAAAGGAAGAUUAAUACCCCAUAAUAUACUGGAUGGCAUCAUUCGGUAUUGAAAACUCCGGUGGAUAGAGAUGGGCACGCGCAAGAUUAGAUAGUUGGUGAGGUAACGGCUCACCAAGUCUGCGAUCUUUAGGGGGCCUGAGAGGGUGAUCCCCCACACUGGUACUGAGACACGGACCAGACUCCUACGGGAGGCAGCAGUGAGGAAUAUUGGACAAUGGGUGAGAGCCUGAUCCAGCCAUCCCGCGUGAAGGACGACGGCCCUAUGGGUUGUAAACUUCUUUUGUAUAGGGAUAAACCUACUCUCGUGAGAGUAGCUGAAGGUACUAUACGAAUAAGCACCGGCUAACUCCGUGCCAGCAGCCGCGGUAAUACGGAGGGUGCAAGCGUUAUCCGGAUUUAUUGGGUUUAAAGGGUCCGUAGGCGGAUCUGUAAGUCAGUGGUGAAAUCUCACAGCUUAACUGUGAAACUGCCAUUGAUACUGCAGGUCUUGAGUGUUAUUGAAGUAGCUGGAAUAAGUAGUGUAGCGGUGAAAUGCAUAGAUAUUACUUAGAACACCAAUUGCGAAGGCAGGUUACUAAGCAACAACUGACGCUGAUGGA